GGACGGGUGAGUAAUGUCUGGGAAACUGCCUGAUGGAGGGGGAUAACUACUGGAAACGGUGGCUAAUACCGCAUAACGUCGCAAGACCAAAGAGGGGGACCUUCGGGCCUCUUGCCAUCAGAUGUGCCCAGAUGGGAUUAGCUUGUUGGUGAGGUAACGGCUCACCAAGGCGACGAUCCCUAGCUGGUCUGAGAGGAUGACCAGCCACACUGGAACUGAGACACGGUCCAGACUCCUACGGGAGGCAGCAGUGGGGAAUAUUGCACAAUGGGCGCAAGCCUGAUGCAGCCAUGCCGCGUGUAUGAAGAAGGCCUUCGGGUUGUAAAGUACUUUCAGCGGGGAGGAAGGUGUUGUGGUUAAUAACCGCAGCAAUUGACGUUACCCGCAGAAGAAGCACCGGCUAACUCCGUGCCAGCAGCCGCGGUAAUACGGAGGGUGCAAGCGUUAAUCGGAAUUACUGGGCGUAAAGCGCACGCAGGCGGUCUGUCAAGUCGGAUGUGAAAUCCCCGGGCUCAACCUGGGAACUGCAUUCGAAACUGGCAGGCUUGAGUCUUGUAGAGGGGGGUAGAAUUCCAGGUGUAGCGGUGAAAUGCGUAGAGAUCUGGAGGAAUACCGGUGGCGAAGGCGGCCCCCUGGACAAAGACUGACGCUCAGGUGCGAAAGCGUGGGGAGCAAACAGGAUUAGAUACCCUGGUAGUCCACGCCGUAAACGAUGUCUACUUGGAGGUUGUGCCCUUGAGGCGUGGCUUCCGGAGCUAACGCGUUAAGUAGACCGCCUGGGGAGUACGGCCGCAAGGUUAAAACUCAAAUGAAUUGACGGGGGCCCGCACAAGCGGUGGAGCAUGUGGUUUAAUUCGAUGCAACGCGAAGAACCUUACCUGGUCUUGACAUCCACAGAAGAAUCCAGAGAUGGAUUUGUGCCUUCGGGAACUGUGAGACAGGUGCUGCAUGGCUGUCGUCAGCUCGUGUUGUGAAAUGUUGGGUUAAGUCCCGCAACGAGCGCAACCCUUA
RNAcentral lists this ribosomal RNA (1011 nucleotides) under Salmonella enterica subsp. enterica serovar Enteritidis. RNAcentral's name for it is "bacterial SSU rRNA". It matches the Rfam family "Bacterial small subunit ribosomal RNA", at positions 100 to 1107 of the family's 1533-position model. Lineage: Bacteria; Pseudomonadati; Pseudomonadota; Gammaproteobacteria; Enterobacterales; Enterobacteriaceae. The record is from RNAcentral.